AAUAUAGAUUGGCGUAUACUGUAUACAUGCAGCAGCGUGCACAAGGAGGUUUAUAUCCUUCUGUUAUUGACAGCUUAAAAAUACAAAACAUUGCGAGCAACAUAAGCGAAAAAGACAAAACACUAAAAGGUAGUUAGUGACAAAAUGUGAAGUAUAAAUUUUUAUAUCAAAAUAUUCGUUACUAAAAAUACGCUCCUCACCUCAAUAACUCUACGUCACUCCUAUAAUUUCACGACGAACACUGUUCUUUUAUUUGUAUUGUUUAACACUUGAGCAGUUUUUGAAAUAAUCAUGAAACAUCAUAGUCGUGUAUACUCACAUAGGAAUUACGUUGGCUAUGAGAAGGAAAAGAAAAAAGUUCCGUA
Non-coding RNA from Cinara cedri, 365 nucleotides. NCBI's taxonomy places the organism in Eukaryota, Metazoa, Arthropoda, Insecta, Hemiptera, Aphididae. The record is from the annotation of a GenBank genome assembly.